UGGGGAAUAUUGCACAAUGGGCGAAAGCCUGAUGCAGCAACGCCGCGUGAGUGAUGAAGGUCUUCGGAUUGUAAAGCUCUGUCUUUUGGGACGAUAAUGACUGUACCAAAGGAGGAAGCCACGGCUAACUACGUGCCAGCAGCCGCGGUAAUACGUAGGUGGCGAGCGUUGUCCGGAUUUACUGGGCGUAAAGGGUGCGUAGGCGGAUGUUUAAGUGAGAUGUGAAAUACCCGGGCUUAACUUGGGUGCUGCAUUUCAAACUGGAUAUCUAGAGUGCAGGAGAGGAGAAUGGAAUUCCUAGUGUAGCGGUGAAAUGCGUAGAGAUUAGGAAGAACACCAGUGGCGAAGGCGAUUCUCUGGACUGUAACUGACGCUGAGGCACGAAAAGCGUGGGUAGCAAACAGGAUUAGAUACCCUGGUAGUCCACGCCGUAAAACGAUGAGUACUAGGUGUAGGAGGUAUCGACCCCUUCUGUGCCGCAGUAAAACACAUUAAAGUACUCCGCCUGGGAAGUACGAUCGCAAGAUUAAAAAC
Molecule: ribosomal RNA, 534 nt
Filed under: uncultured bacterium
Lineage: Bacteria
Description: partial 16S ribosomal RNA
Rfam family: Bacterial small subunit ribosomal RNA
Source: RNAcentral